Salvelinus fontinalis (brook trout) is the source of this 5808-nucleotide long non-coding RNA. RefSeq lists it as uncharacterized. The record is from RefSeq and is a predicted model, not a curated record. The transcript has 2 exons. NCBI's taxonomy places the organism in Eukaryota, Metazoa, Chordata, Actinopteri, Salmoniformes, Salmonidae.
CACGACGCAUUACUGAGUGCCAGGAUACAGCCAUUAGCCGUGGUAUAUUGGCCAUAUACCAUAAACCCCUGAGGUACCUUAUUGUUAUUAUAAACUAGUUACAAAUGUAAUUCCCGUGUUAUACGGUCUGAUAUACCAUGGCUGUCAGCCAAUCAGCAGUCAGGGCUGGAACUACCCAGUUUACAAUACAGUAUAUAUAUUGAGUAAGAUAAAUAAAACACAAAAUACAGGCUUAUGAGAGACUUUCCAACAGGUGCCUCCAAAAAGCAUGUUUUGAUUGAAUCAACCUCAGUAAAAUCACAACAGAGAGAGAGAGAGAGAGAGAAGAGCAUAGCUAGUGAUGACAGCUUCCUGUUGGUGUGAAGGGGAGAGGGCGGGAACCAAUGGCUGUGCAGUAGCCUCAGAACACUGAACUGGAAUCCCAAAAGGCACCCUUUCCCUAUAUCGUGCACUACUAUAGGCACUGGUCAAAAGUAGAGCACUAUGUAGGGAAUAGGGUGCCAUUUGGGAGAACUAAGAACUGUUAUUUUCACAUCACCACCCAGCAGGGAGUCCGCUACACCGAACCGUCUUAUUUUCCUCUGUCUUACCACACUAUCAGCCUGGAUGGGAAAUGACCAGAACCUGGAGGAUAAUGAAAGCCUCACAGCCAGAGAAGUAUCUGCCAAAUAUGUGACAACCAUUUAUAAAUAUUCAUACCAGUAAUUUCAACAAUUUCUUUCACAUAGCCCAUAAAACUGGGAAAAUGUAGUAAGCACACAAGAUUAUUUGCUUAAAUAUCCACAUCUUUUCCCAAAAAUCCACAUAGUGACAUUGAAUCACAUACCGUCUCUUUAGUUACUAUCUAGUUUUCAGUACUUGCUAUACGAACCUGUCAGUACAGUGUUGUAUUAUAAAUCAGACAGUCUAUUUGUUAAUAUCCACCUACUUACCAAAGGCCCUAUCGUUAAUGAAUGAUGACAACCCACCCCCCGCUGGUUUACCCCAGCCGCCCCCUCCUAUCCUGAGCCUCUGCCCCCUACACCCUACACAACACUCAAGCCCCAAGUGGCUUAUUGAAAUUCCAAAACUAAAACACACACUCAAACACAGUCUCCUGAGUUUGCCGCACAUCGUUAGACGAGCACAACCCGGCCCUCCCUCCAGCGACAGAGAGGAGCGAAGUGCUGCCAGCUCUGGCAUGGAUACGGAACCAGGCUCACACAGGGGAAUGGACCCAGGGCUGGAAAAACUUGGCAAGGAAUGGCUAGGGGUACCACCUGUGUGGAACGCUUCUGGAACAUUCUACUGCUCAGAGACAAGAGGAGGAUCAGCUGUGGAGAGAGAGAGGAGACAAGAGGAGGAUAAGCUGUGGAGAGAGAGAGGAGACAAGAGCAGGAUCAGCUGUGGAGAGAUAGAGGAGACAAGAGGAGGAUCAGCUGUGGAGAGAGGAGACAAGAGGAGGAUCAGCUGUGGAGAGAGAGAGGAGACAAGAGGAGGAUAAGCUGUGGAGAGAGAGAGGAGACAAGAGGAGGAUCAGCUGUGGAGAGAGAGAGGAGACAAGAGGAGGAUCAGCUGUGGAGAGAGAGGAGACAAGAGGAGGAUAAGCUGUGGAGAGAGAGAGGAGACAAGAGGAGGAUAAGCUGUGGAGAGAGAGAGGAGACAAGAGGAGGAUCCGCUGUGGAGAGAGAGAGGAGACAAGAGGAGGAUCAGCUGUGGAGAGAGAGAGGAGACAAGAGGAGGAUAAGCUGUGGAGAGAGAGAGGAGACAAGAGGAGGAUCAGCUGUGGAGAGAGAGAGGAGACAAGAGGAGGAUCAGCUGUGGAGAGAGAGAGGAGACAAGAGGAGGAUCAGCUGUGGAGAGAGAGAGGAGACAAGAGGAGGAUCAGCUGUGGAGAGAGAGAGGAGACAAGAGGAGGAUCAGCUGUGGAGAGAGAGAGGAGACAAGAGGAGGAUAAGCUGUGGAGAGAGAGAGGAGACAAGAGGAGGAUCCGCUGUGGAGAGAGAGAGGAGACAAGAGGAGGAUCAGCUGUGGAGAGAGAGAGGAGACAAGAGGAGGAUCAGCUGUGGAGAGAGAGAGGAGACAAGAGGAGGAUAAGCUGUGGAGAGAGAGAGGAGACAAGAGGAGGAUCAGCUGUGGAGAGAGAGAGGAGACAAGAGGAGGAUCAGCUGUGGAGAGAGAGAGGAGACAAGAGGAGGAUAAGCUGUGGAGAGAGAGAGGAGACAAGAGGAGGAUAAGCUGUGGAGAGAGAGAGGAGACAAGAGGAGGAUCCGUUGAGGAGACAAGAGGAGGAUCAGCUGUGGAGAGAGAGAGGAGACAAGAGGAGGAUAAGCUGUGGAGAGAGAGAGGAGACAAGAGGAGGAUCAGCUGUGGAGAGAGAGAGGAGACAAGAGGAGGAUCAGCUGUAGAGAGAGAGAGGAGACAAGAGGAGGAUAAGCUGUGGAGAGAGAGAGGAGACAAGAGGAGGAUCAGCUGUGGAGAGAGAGAGGAGACAAGAGGAGGAUCAGCUGUGGAGAGAGAGAGGGGACAACCCCCUUGGGUUGUGCCGUGGGGGAGAUCUUCGUGGGCUAUACUCGGCCUUGUCUCAGGAUGGACCUGAGCUCUAGGACCAUGCCUCAGGACUACCUGGCCCGAUGACUCCUUGCUGUCCCCAGUUCACCUGGCCGUGCUGCUGCUCCAGUUUCAACUGUUCUGCCUGCGUCUAUGGAACCCUGACCUGUUCACCGGACGUGUUACCUGUCCCAGACCUGCUGUUUUCAACUCUCUAGAGACAGCAGGAGCGGUAGAGAUAUUCUGAAUGAUCGGCUAUAAAAAGCCAACUGACAUUUACUCCUGAGGUGCUGACCUGUUGCACCCCCUACAACCACUGUGAUGAUUAUUGUUUGACCCUGCUUGUCAUCUAUGAACAUUUGAACAUCUUGGCCAUGUUCUGUUAUAAUCUCCAACCGGCACAGCCAGAAGAAGACUGGCCACACCUCAUAGCCUGGUUCCUCUCUAGGUUUCUUCCUAGGUCUUGGACUUUCUAGGGAGCUUUUCCUAGCCACCGUGCUUCUACACCUGCAUUGCUUGCUGUUUGGGGUUUUAGGCUGGGUUUCUGUACAACACUUUGUGGCAUCAGUAAGAUGUGCUUUAUAAAUACAUUUGAUUGAUUGAUUGACAAUAGGGGGAUCAGCUGUGGAAAGAGAGAGGAGACAAGAGGAGGAUCAGCUGUGGAGAGAGGAGACAAGAGGAGGAUCAGCUGUGGAGAGAGAUGAGACACGAGGAGGAUCAGCUCUGGAGAGAGGAGACAAGAAGAGGAUCAGCUGUGGAGAGAGGAGACAAGAGGAGGAUCAGCUGUGGAGAGAGAUGAGACACGAGGAGGAUCAGCUCUGGAGAGAGGAGACAAGAAGAGGAUCAGCUGUGGAGAGAGGAGACAAGAGGAGGAUCAGCUGUGGAGAGAGAUGAGACACGAGGAGGAUCAGCUGUGGAGAGAGGAGACAAGAGGAGGAUCAGCUGUGGAGAGAGGAGCCAAUUGAAGGAUCAGCUGUGGAGAGAGGAGACAAGAGGAGGAUCAGCUGUGGAGAGAGGAGACAAGAGGAGGAUCAGCUGUGGAGAGAGGAGACAAGAAGAGGAUCAGGUGUGAAGAGAGAGGAGACAAUUGAAGGAUCAGCUGUGGAGAGAGGAGACAAGAGGAGGAUCAGCUGUGGAGAGAGAGAGGAGACAAGAGGAGGAUCAGCUGUGGAGAGAGAGAGGAGACAAGAGGAGGAUCAGCUGUGGAGAGAGAGAGGAGACAAGAAGAGGAUCAGCUGUGGAGAGAGAGGAGACAAGAGGAGGAUCAGCUGUGGAGAGAGGAGACAAGAGGAGGAUCAGCUGCGGAGAGAGGAGACAAGAGGAGGAUCAGCUGUAGAGAGAAAGAGGAGACAAGAGGAGGAUCAGCUGUAGAGAGAGAAAGAGGAGGAUCAGCUGUGGAGAGAGAGGAGACAAGAGGAGGAUCAGCUGUGCAGGGCGAUCUCAGCCUCUAAUCCUCUCUCUCUCUUGUCCUCUCUCUCUCUCUCGUCCUCUUUCUCUUUCUCUCUAAUCCUCUCUCUCUCGCUAACCCUCUCUUUUCCUACUCUAAAUCCCUCUCUUUUUCUCUCUCUAGUCCUCUCUCUCUCUCUAACCCUCUCUCUUUCUCCUACUCUAACCCUCUCUCUUUCUCCUACUUUAACCCUCUCUCUCUCUAGUCCUCUCUCUUUCUCCUCCUCUUACCCUCUUUCUUCCUCCUCCUCUAACCCCUUCUCUCUCUCUAGUCCUCUCUCUCUCUCUUUCUCCUCCUCUAACCCUCUCUCUUUCUCCUCCUCUAACCCAUUCUCUCUCUCUAGUCCUCUCUCUCUCUCUAACCCUCUCUCUUUCACCUCCUCUAACCCUCUCUCUUUCUCCUCCUCUAACCCAUUCUCUCUCUCUAGUCCUCUCUCUCUCUAACCCUCUCUCUUUCACCUCCUCUAACCCUCUCUCUUUCUCCUCCUCUAAACUUCUCUCUCUCUAGCCCGUUCUUUUCCUCUGCUCCUUCCCUGCUCCAAUAGACUAUUACAGGCUUAAUUUGGACUCUCACAUUGGGAUUGUAAUAGAUCAAAACAAGACAAUAUUUUAACUCCUCAGGUUAGUUGCUAUGUAAACUUAUUUUGGUGAAGAAGAGGAUUGACGUUGCGGAUUCUGUUGUUGCCACAGUGUUCUAUUUGAAAUACACUCAGCUUUGAACUUUUCAUUUUGUCUGUCGCACUCAGGAAGUAAAUACAUUUAACACCAGUGUAGGGACAGAGAAGUUAUUACCCUUGGGGUUAUUUGAUUUGCUGUGAGUGGAACUCUCAGUUUUGAAAAAGGUACCCCUUCAUAAAAGAACUGCAAACAUAUCAUUGAAGUACAGUAAGCUCGUACUAUCCCUAUGAUUAGCUGGCUCCAGUUCAUUACAUAGAAACUAUCUAGAAUUACACAGUGACUUUCCACCCACUCCUCCAUGGAGCUCUUCUGAGCUAACUUAUUUACCAAUCUCUCAUUUUGAUUGCAAUCUAUUAAGAAUUACCUGCCUCCCAGCUCAGUCAGAACAAUUACAUUGCUCUGCAGUCUGUAUUGGAAAUCGAUAGCUAUCUGGGUUCAAUCAAGCCCAGGUGAUAGUCCUCUUUAACCCAGAGACGCCAGAGAUGUCUAUUGAAGGUGACGCCGAUUGUCACUCGGACUCAAUCCGGCCCCGUGUUGUGAGACGGAGAGGGAGCGAUCCGCCCGGCAGAAUGAUUCCUCCACCUGAGUCGCUCCUCAGAUCGAUGGGAAUCGUGUUGUGAUUCUCCCGACUCCUCCCUAAUUGCUACAGCAGGUGAAUGAGGGAGACAUUGAUUCUGCAUGUCUGCCUGGUGUGUUAAGACAUCAACAACCCUGCUGUGGCUACUCCAUUAUCAAGGCGUUUGAACACACAAUAACUAAUGUUAGCUCAUCAUGACUGAGAACUGCAUGAUAUUGUAAGGUAAGACAAGGCAAGACUGGUCAUCCAUACAGUAGAACAAUGAACUUAGUGUAUUUUGUGUUGUAAUCUACUCCUCUGGGAUGGCACAUGAUAAAGUACUGCGUCCCAAAUGGUAUCCUAUUCCCUAUAUAGUUCACUAUAGUUCACUAAUUUUGACCAGAGCCCUGUAGGCCCUGGUUAAAAUGAAUGCAAUACAUAGGGAAUAGUUUGCCAUUUAGGACACAGACAUUGAAAUUCCUUGAUUGACACAAGUUGUACUUGAGAAAAGUCAUUGUAUGGCAACAUGCAGCUGGACUUCAGAUCCUAAACAAACUGGACAGGAGUAAAGUCCCUUGAAUAAAAAACAGAUAUAUUUA